CGCCACGGUGACUUGCAAGCAACUCACUGCACUUAGGCACUGGACUACCUAAAUUUCUAAUUCAGUGAUGGAAGGAUGCUGGGUGUAGUCAAGUACUUGACUUGUCGGUGCGUGUGUCAAGAUGAAAUUGACCACUCCAGUUUAGGAGCUGUGUACAGUCGUGUUUCAAUUUAGCAAAAUCUUGGCCAGGGUAGUCCUAGU
This 201-nucleotide long non-coding RNA is filed under the name Elaeis guineensis (African oil palm). RNAcentral describes it as "long non-coding RNA (EGUI_LNC082493)". The record is from RNAcentral. Lineage: Eukaryota; Viridiplantae; Streptophyta; Magnoliopsida; Arecales; Arecaceae.